GAUGAAGAACGCAGUGAAAUGCGAUAUGUAAUGUGAAUUGCAGAAUUCAGUGAAUCAUCGAAUCUUUGAACGCACAUUGCGCCCCUUGGUAUUCCGAGGGGCAUGCCUGUUCGAGCGUCAUUAUAACCCCUCAAGCUCAGCUUGGUGUUGGGGCCUGCUGCACUGGCAGCCCUUAAAAUCAGUGGCGGCGCCAUCUGGCUCUAAGCGUAGUAAUUCUUCUCGCUAUGGAGUCCUGGUGGAUGCUUGCCAUCAACCCCCAAUUUUUCUAUGGUUGACCUCGGAUCAGGUAGGGAUACCCGCUGAACUUAAGCAUAUCAAUAAGCGGAGGA
RNAcentral lists this unclassified non-coding RNA (329 nucleotides) under soil metagenome. RNAcentral describes it as "partial contains 5.8S ribosomal RNA, internal transcribed spacer 2, and large subunit ribosomal RNA". The stretch from base 1 to 120 matches the Rfam family "5.8S ribosomal RNA", at positions 35 to 154 of the family's 154-position model. The record is from RNAcentral.